GGCCGUGUAUAGCUCAGUUGGCAGAGAAUUGGGCUAGUAUUCCAAAGGUCGUAGGUUCGAUUCCCACCGUGGCCA
RNAcentral lists this transfer RNA (75 nucleotides) under Paramuricea clavata. RNAcentral describes it as "tRNA-Thr". It matches the Rfam family "tRNA". Rfam says of the family: Transfer RNA (tRNA) molecules are approximately 80 nucleotides in length. Their secondary structure includes four short double-helical elements and three loops (D, anti-codon, and T loops). Lineage: Eukaryota; Metazoa; Cnidaria; Anthozoa; Malacalcyonacea; Plexauridae. The record is from RNAcentral.